Molecule: small nucleolar RNA, 104 nt
Organism: Sorex araneus (European shrew)
Lineage: Eukaryota; Metazoa; Chordata; Mammalia; Eulipotyphla; Soricidae
Source: Ensembl
AUCCUUUUCCAGUUCAUAAGCAUGAUAAUCAGGUGUUCGAAUGUUUGUGUGACAUGUGCCUUUCUUAACUCUUGUUAUACACUUGGCCCUUUACCCAUCUGAUA